GGGGAAUAUUGCGCAAUGGGCGAAAGCCUGACGCAGCGACGCCGCGUGAGGGACGACGGCCUUCGGGUUGUAAACCUCUUUCAGCAGGGACGAAAAUGACGGUACCUGCAGAAGAAGCACCGGCUAACUACGUGCCAGCAGCCGCGGUAAUACGUAGGGUGCAAGCGUUGUCCGGAUUUAUUGGGCGUAAAGAGCUCGUAGGCGGUCUGUCGCGUCGGAUGUGAAAACUUGGGGCUCAACCCUGAGCUUGCAUUCGAUACGGGCAGACUAGAGGAUUGCAGGGGAGACUGGAAUUCCUGGUGUAGCGGUGGAAUGCGCAGAUAUCAGGAGGAACACCGGUGGCGAAGGCGGGUCUCUGGGCAAUUACUGACGCUGAGGAGCGAAAGCGUGGGGAGCAAAC
This 400-nucleotide ribosomal RNA is filed under the name uncultured bacterium. RNAcentral describes it as "bacterial SSU rRNA". It matches the Rfam family "Bacterial small subunit ribosomal RNA", at positions 356 to 773 of the family's 1533-position model. The record is from RNAcentral.